GGGGUUGUGGCUCAGUGAUAGAGCGCUUGCCUCACAUGCAUGAGCCCCUGGCUUUAAUCCUCAGCACCA
Molecule: transfer RNA, 69 nt
Filed under: Marmota monax (woodchuck)
Lineage: Eukaryota; Metazoa; Chordata; Mammalia; Rodentia; Sciuridae
Also listed under: 1 other name
Rfam family: tRNA
About the family: Transfer RNA (tRNA) molecules are approximately 80 nucleotides in length. Their secondary structure includes four short double-helical elements and three loops (D, anti-codon, and T loops). Further hydrogen bonds mediate the characteristic L-shaped molecular structure. tRNAs have two regions of fundamental functional importance: the anti-codon, which is responsible for specific mRNA codon recognition, and the 3' end, to which the tRNAs corresponding amino acid is attached (by aminoacyl-tRNA synthetases). tRNAs cope with the degeneracy of the genetic code in two manners: having more than one tRNA (with a specific anti-codon) for a particular amino acid; and 'wobble' base-pairing, i.e. permitting non-standard base-pairing at the 3rd anti-codon position.
Source: Rfam by way of RNAcentral